RNAcentral lists this ribosomal RNA (468 nucleotides) under uncultured bacterium. Its description in RNAcentral is "partial 16S ribosomal RNA". It matches the Rfam family "Bacterial small subunit ribosomal RNA", at positions 28 to 507 of the family's 1533-position model. The record is from RNAcentral.
GACGAACGCUGGCGGCGUGCUUAACACAUGCAAGUCGAACGGAAAGGCCCUGCUUUUGUGGGGUGCUCGAGUGGCGAACGGGUGAGUAACACGUGAGUAACCUGCCCUUGACUUUGGGAUAACUUCAGGAAACUGGGGCUAAUACCGGAUAGGAGCUCCUGCUGCAUGGUGGGGGUUGGAAAGUUUCGGCGGUUGGGGAUGGACUCGCGGCUUAUCAGCUUGUUGGUGGGGUAGUGGCUUACCAAGGCUUUGACGGGUAGCCGGGCUGAGAGGGUGACCGGACAAAUUGGGACUGAGAUGCGGCCCAGACUCCUACGGGAGGCAGCAGUGGGGAAUAUUGCACAAUGGGCGGAAGCCUGAUGCAGUCACGCCGCGUGGGGGAUGACGGCAUUCGGGUUGUAAACCGCUUUCGCCUGUGAUGAAGAGUGAGUGACGGUAAUUGGUAAAGAAGCACCGGCUAACUACGUG